CCGGUAAACGGCGGCCGUAACUAUAACGGUCCUAAGGUAGCGAAAUUCCUUGUCGGGUAAGUUCCGACCUGCACGAAUGGCGUAAUGAUGGCCAGGCUGUCUCCACCCGAGACUCAGUGAAAUUGAACUCGCUGUGAAGAUGCAGUGUACCCGCGGCAAGACGGAAAGACCCCGUGAACCUUUACUAUAGCUUGACACUGAACAUUGAGCCUUGAUGUGUAGGAUAGGUGGGAGGCUUUGAAGUGUGGACGCCAGUCUGCAUGGAGCCGACCUUGAAAUACCACCCUUUAAUGUUUGAUGUUCUAACGUUGACCCGUAAUCCGGGUUGCGGACAGUGUCUGGUGGGUAGUUUGACUGGGGCGGUCUCCUCCUAAAGAGUAACGGAGGAGCACGAAGGUUGGCUAAUCCUGG
Molecule: ribosomal RNA, 411 nt
Filed under: Escherichia coli
Lineage: Bacteria; Pseudomonadati; Pseudomonadota; Gammaproteobacteria; Enterobacterales; Enterobacteriaceae
Description: partial 23S ribosomal RNA
Rfam family: Bacterial large subunit ribosomal RNA
Source: RNAcentral